GACGAACGCUGGCGGCGUGCUUAACACAUGCAAGUCGAACGGAAAGGCCCUGCUUUUGUGGGGUGCUCGAGUGGCGAACGGGUGAGUAACACGUGAGUAACCUGCCCUUGACUUUGGGAUAACUUCAGGAAACUGGGGCUAAUACCGGAUAGGAGCUCCUGCUGCAUGGUGGGGGUUGGAAAGUUUCGGCGGUUGGGGAUGGACUCGCGGCUUAUCAGCUUGUUGGUGGGGUAGUGGCUUACCAAGGCUUUGACGGGUAGCCGGCCUGAGAGGGUGACCGGCCACAUUGGGACUGAGAUACGGCCCAGACUCGUACGGGAGGCAGCAGUGGGGAAUAUUGCACAAUGAGCGGAAGCCUGAUGCAGCAACGCCGCGUGCGGGAUGACGGCCUGCGGGUUGUAAACCGCUUUCGCCUGUGACGAAGCGUGAGUGACGGUAAUGGGUAAAGAAGCACCGGCUAACUACGUG
This 468-nucleotide ribosomal RNA is filed under the name uncultured bacterium. RNAcentral describes it as "partial 16S ribosomal RNA". It matches the Rfam family "Bacterial small subunit ribosomal RNA", at positions 28 to 507 of the family's 1533-position model. The record is from RNAcentral.